Molecule: transfer RNA, 59 nt
Filed under: Sinergasilus undulatus
Lineage: Eukaryota; Metazoa; Arthropoda; Copepoda; Poecilostomatoida; Ergasilidae
Description: tRNA-Ser
Source: RNAcentral
AAAACUGUGUAUAUCUUAUUUUGAAAAUAAGAUGAAGAAAUUAAUAUUUCUCAGUUUUA